Molecule: long non-coding RNA, 1438 nt
Organism: Branchiostoma floridae (Florida lancelet)
Lineage: Eukaryota; Metazoa; Chordata; Leptocardii; Amphioxiformes; Branchiostomatidae
Exons: 3
Source: RefSeq, a predicted model, not a curated record
UUUCCUGCGCUGUGAUUGGCGAUGCCUAUAUUAGGCGAAGACCCAAUCCCAUAUAAAGGCAGGAUAGACUAUUCACAUGCAGUUUGACGGACUCCUCCCCACAGCCGGUUCGUCGACGCCAUGGCUACGGAAACACAGAAGAUCCACAGAAAGACCGCCAGCAGGUUUUCGGGGUGUAGAAGAGAGACCGAGUAUUUACCUCGUUUGCGUUUACAGGGAGUAUAGAAUUCAAAGAUUGCCCUUUUAGUGUCAUGAAGAUUUCGUAUUUUAUUUUGCUUUGUGAAACUGCGAGAAGUUGUUGCUGCGUAGGGACGAAUGUGAGUUGUCUGCGUUUUGCACGUGUAUCGCUCUUUGUCAUGCUGAGGUCCGUUCUUCUCGCAGACACUGGCGUGCCGGGCAUUGUGUAUGGGUUAUGGAAGAAAGCAUGCCUCACUGCGAGAAUAGACGCUUAUUUUGGGCGUUUGUUAGACAUCACAGGUAUAUGCAGUACUGUCUGAAAGGACGUCGACGGAGAAGGCAAGUGACACCGCCGGCACGGCCGACCCCAGCAUGACUGACGCAGCAGCCUUGUGAAUGAGCCGGACGUUCCAUAGCAGAGCACCAGUAACACUGUUUUUGACAGUGAGACUCACCAGGACAAGUCUGCGAUAUCUACGACCUUCUGGGAACGGGUAGGGAAAAUUGCCGACAACAGAGAAGAUAGAGUAGUUUCCUACGGGCGUAGGAUUUACAAGCCAAGCAGGAGCCUUUAUGAAGCGGUACAACGUUGUUCCAGUUUCCGCACGCUCGGAGCAGAGCCCGACCUUUUUUUAUCAAGAAAGAGUCGGAGGCUUCAACUUAUCACUGGUAGCUCUAUGGGAAGCAUUCAGUACAACGCGCGUGGGUGUGAUGCGAGGACGUCUGAAAAUACCACCUCAAGUUCAGCAACUUAGACCCACCAGCCAGCUGAGAAGUACACGCAGCAAACCAUAUGGGAGGACGGCGUACAGGCAGGGAUGGUGGCCAAGCAAAGGGAUCAAGAAGUUUAAAACCAGACUUAAAAUUCAGAAACAGAGAGACAACAGCCCCAGAAUUUUUUACUCUCUCGUACGUUCGAAUUGUGACCUGAAUUUCCAUUUUGCCUUAAAGUAACAGAGUAUGUUAGAGGGCGUCUGUUAAACGCUUUCUUCGUAAAAAAAAAGAACAUCUAUACUGUCUUAGAGUUCACUGUAGGGAUGACCACUGUAUUUGCUUGUUUUUAAUUAGAACACAUCAACGUCAGAAGUUGUCCAGGAAGUGACAUGUUUUUCGUUGUAAUGUUGAGAAACAACUAGUUAUUAAAUCGGUUUGCUGUUUUCGUCUGUCUCCAUUUUCUUUACUUGGUAGUACGUUCCAGCGCUUAUGGUUUAUAAGUAAUUUGAAAAGGAGCAUGUUUAAUAUAAAGUGCCAUGGAUAAAUA